This 164-nucleotide ribosomal RNA is filed under the name Senecio schweinfurthii. Its description in RNAcentral is "5.8S ribosomal RNA". It matches the Rfam family "5.8S ribosomal RNA". Rfam says of the family: 5.8S ribosomal RNA (5.8S rRNA) is a component of the large subunit of the eukaryotic ribosome. It is transcribed by RNA polymerase I as part of the 45S precursor that also contains 18S and 28S rRNA. Functionally, it is thought that 5.8S rRNA may be involved in ribosome translocation. Lineage: Eukaryota; Viridiplantae; Streptophyta; Magnoliopsida; Asterales; Asteraceae. The record is from RNAcentral.
UAAACGACUCUCGGCAACGGAUAUCUCGGCUCACGCAUCGAUGAAGAACGUAGCAAAAUGCGAUACUUGGUGUGAAUUGCAGAAUCCCGUGAACCAUCGAGUUUUUGAACGCAAGUUGCGCCCGAAUCCUUUUGGUUGAGGGCACGUCUGCCUGGGCGUCACAC